UCUCUCCUAUUUUCAUCAUACCGAGUGCCCUGGGUGAUCUAAGAGACCAGGAUGCUGGCCUCCAAAGGGCUUUAUUUAUAGCUUCUAACAGCACCCUGUCACACUGAAGCAAUUUUUGAGAACUUAUGGAAGAUAGCAAAUAGACUGGACCUUCUGUUGGAGGGGGGAUGACCCCAGUUUUUCCUGGGAAUGACUGGAAGGACUUUGGCCUAACGAAGUUCUAUUAAACCGAUGGUGAUGUUUGGUGACCAUGAAUUGUAUCACUCUCCUGAAGCUGACACAGGAAGAUACAGACCGAAUGCUGCUUGAACGUGACCAUAACCAGGACCAUUCGCUGCCAUGCUUUGUGCUGCAAUGAUUCCAGACCACUUUCUACUGGCUUGGCAUAGUAAAGUGUCCUACCGUGGAGGACAAAAUAAGGCAGCCCUCCCCAGAAACCUUCUGCAAAAGCUUUCAGAGUACCUCCAGGCAAGCUUCAUGGAGAUGUCCCUGGAAAAUUCCUGCUCCAUUCCC
Mauremys reevesii (Reeves's turtle) is the source of this 513-nucleotide long non-coding RNA. RefSeq lists it as uncharacterized. The record is from RefSeq and is a predicted model, not a curated record. The transcript is spliced from 3 exons. Lineage: Eukaryota; Metazoa; Chordata; Testudines; Geoemydidae.